RNAcentral lists this unclassified non-coding RNA (285 nucleotides) under plant metagenome. RNAcentral's name for it is "partial contains small subunit ribosomal RNA, internal transcribed spacer 1, and 5.8S ribosomal RNA". The stretch from base 1 to 54 matches the Rfam family "Eukaryotic small subunit ribosomal RNA", at positions 1778 to 1831 of the family's 1831-position model. The record is from RNAcentral.
GGAAGUAAAAGUCGUAACAAGAUUUCCGUAGGUGAACCUGCGGAAGGAUCAUUAUUGUAUAACCGAGGUGCGAGGGCUGUCGCUGACCCGAAAGGUCGUGCACGCCCGAGUGCCCUCACACACAUCCAUCUCACCCCUAUGUGCACCACCGUGUGGGUCCCCCUUUGGCUUGUUCGGAGGAGGGCUUACGUUUUCACACAAACUUUGUAUGCAGUGUAGAAUGUAUUUUUUGUUUUUGCGAUCACGCAAUCAAUACAACUUUCAACAACGGAUCUCUUGGCUCUC